Molecule: ribosomal RNA, 300 nt
Filed under: uncultured Bacillus sp.
Lineage: Bacteria; Bacillati; Bacillota; Bacilli; Caryophanales; Bacillaceae
Description: bacterial SSU rRNA
Rfam family: Bacterial small subunit ribosomal RNA (bases 35-300)
Source: RNAcentral
GGGGGUGGGAGGGGUGAGGGGAGCGUGGUAGGGGAUAACUGGGCGAAAAGGGAGAGUAGGUGGCGAGCCUAAGGCGGCUGUGAAGGUGGGGGGCGCAACCCGGGGUGGGCGGCGGCGACUGUGGGGCUCGGGGACUGGAGAGGCAGAUGGAAUUCCGGGUGUAGCGGUGGAAUGCGGAGAGAGCCGGAAGAACACCAGUGGCGAAGGCGGUCUGCGGGGCAGUGGGAUCGAAAGGUCCCUUCAACCGACACUGAGGCGCGACAGCGUGGGGAGCAAACAGGAUUAGAUACCCGAGUCGUC